AAGUAGCAUCGCUCUCUGGGUGACAAGAUUGGCUCCGGGAUAAGAGUGAUAAGAGAACAGGGGAUGGACAGAUUCUCACCUCUCCUUCUCCUGACAUCAAACUCAACAGCUUACUAUUCCAAGUUCAGAGAAGGGCAAGAAAAACAAAAGAGAAGAAAUGAAGUGGAAUGCAGGAGAAAUGUGGAAUGCAGAAGGAAUUUAGACAACAUUUUAACAUUAAUUCUGUUUUGAUGCAUUGAUUCAUCGUGCAGGCUGGCUGGUGAUAUACUGUAAUGUUAACAGUGCAAAGAAAAUGAUACAGAUUUUGAACAACAUGAUGGUGAGUAAAUGAUGACAGAAUUUUUAUUCUUGGGUGAAAUAUUAACUAAUAAUGUUAGCUCACACAAUAUAUACCUGUUAUUUCCCAUACAAGGACCAGCAGGAAGUUGUGAUGCUGUCACAAUGCUGCUACCAUGGUAACGGCUCCUAUAUACUUGCUUGUGCAUUGUGCUAAUGCUGGUGCAAUCAGUCUGAGUUAGUGCAGUUUGGCAGAUGGCUCACUGCGCUGUAUUCCACGUGCACUCAACAGAUCAAUACAGCACCUCAUUACAGAGUCCAAAUCGAGAGAUAGAUCACACACCAGAUAAAGGUAGCGGAUUCCAGUGAGAGUUUAUAUCAAUGAUGAUCAGAUACUUUAAGUGGUGGUUUGAUUCCAGACCGUCAAGACUUGCUUGUCCAUUUUUGCAGCUGAAUUUAUGUAUUUUGGAAUACACUAGUCACUAUGAUAAGAAAAUGUGUGCCUAGAACAGCAGCAGGGGUGUUAAAUACAUGAGUGCUUCAUCAUUACAUACUAAAGUAUUAUUUUGUGGACUUUGAAUACUAUUUUAACAGAAUACUUGAACUUACUAAUUUGAUUAAAAAAAAAAGUUCUCUUUAGACCUUAAAUUUAAUUUAAAAGUACACAUUUUGCAGGUCAUCACAACUUAAAUCCAACAAAGCCAACAUAUGUGUUUAUGAUAUAUAAUGCACGUUGUGUGUGCAUACUAAAAAACAAUUAUAUGGAAACUAUAAAUAAAAUAUAACUUUCUAAUAGCAAACCAUUCUGUUUCAGUGCAAAAUGUCAUAGCUAUAGAGGAACAUGAUUAAAGUAGGGAUACAUUUUUAGUCAUAAACAAUUAUAUUAAAAAUUCAACCAACUAUUAAUGUCUACAGAUUUUAAAGAUUUAUUUUAUUUAAAGUGUGCUAGACCCUUACACAGUCAGAACAUUGAAAAAUUGUGUUUAAAAUGGGUCUUUCCAAAGUUUUUGCAUCAAAGUUGCAAAGUCUAUUCGUAAAACUAAGAAAAAAACUUUAAUAUUUGUGUACAAUUAUAAGUGGGAGAAAAAAUACUUUCACUCAGUUUUGUGGCUGCGUAGAUACUUUGCCAUUUAAAUACAUUUAUGACAUAGUGCUCAACCUUCUUACACCCCUGAACCGUGGUAAAUGUCAGUGUAAACCCAAGAGGCAAAUUAGCACAUUAUUGGUCUUGGCUGCAUUAUAAGUGCCUGCUGAGGGGUUUAAUUGCAGUGUAUUUUAGCCCGUAAAAGGAAACAUUAUGUCUGUACUUUGCACCCUUCCAGAACUGUGCACUUAUGUCUACUCCAUGAGCUUAGAUCCAUAGCACGUAAUACCAAACAUUCCCCCCAUCUGCAAAAAUGGUUCCAAAAAGAAUUUUUUAAAAAUCCAUGCAGUUCUGAAAGGGCCAUUGAGUUUACUUGUCACAAACAUCAUGUCUUUGCUGGUAAAGUCUCGAGACAGCAAGCCUUUAAUUCUGAAAAUUUCUCUCCAAGGGAGAACACAGUCAGCCGUAGCCCAACUGUCCUAGAAAAGGAUCUCAGCACUCUCUGAGUGGGCAUCAGGGGCUAUAGGGACGUGCUCUGGGUGUGGAGAGAGCACUUUGGACCAUACCCAUAAUCCAGCGGUAAUCUGUUCUUAAAUGUUAGGCUCUGGCUAAAGGAGUUGAGGGGUGACAGAGAGCAAUGCUCAGCAGUAAACAGGAAGCAGGCUUUGGAAGAAGUUGAUGAGUACUGAGCUUCAGAAGGAAGGGUUUCCCUUUUUUUUAUCUUUUGCUGAUUGAAGGUGAGGAGCAGCCCUAAAAAGACAUGACAGAAUGUAUGGUAGUUAAAG
Molecule: long non-coding RNA, 2145 nt
Organism: Cyprinus carpio carpio
Lineage: Eukaryota; Metazoa; Chordata; Actinopteri; Cypriniformes; Cyprinidae
Source: Ensembl